RNAcentral lists this unclassified non-coding RNA (2423 nucleotides) under Dendronephthya gigantea. RNAcentral describes it as "zinc metalloproteinase nas-13-like, transcript variant X1". The record is from RNAcentral. Lineage: Eukaryota; Metazoa; Cnidaria; Anthozoa; Malacalcyonacea; Nephtheidae.
UUUCCAAUCAAAAUGCGUUUAUGAGUUCAUCCUGAAGUGAAAGAAUCUGCGUCUUGUGCUCAAAGAUUGGAUUCUUUAAAAAAACAUGCGUCUUUUCUCGUUUCAUUGCGUUUUGUUGUCUGCCUUAGCAAUUCUUUAUUAUGCAGAACGAUGUGAAGGAUUAACUAUAAAAAUCAAACUGAAAGAAGAUGUUGUCCUAAAGAUAACUUUGAUUGGAAAGAAAACAAAGAAUACUACAGACACAAAGAUCAAUUUACCUUACACUGAUAAAGAACAAUGGGAAAAACUUCGCAGUAAUAUGAUUGGAAACAGCUCUGAAGCAAAUAUGGAUAACGCAACUUCAUUAUUUGAUCGCAUUGUUAUCACAAAUGCAUUUGCACGAUCGAAAUCAAAUGAUGGCCGGUUUCUGUACCAAGGUGAUAUUUUAAUGGAUGCUGAUAGUUUCCUGCCUAAUACGAGGAAAAAAAGAGCCAUAAUUGCCUUUGAUUAUUUUCGAUGGAACGUCAAACAAGGAGUACCUUAUAAAUUACAUUCAUCUUUGGAUGCCGCCAGUCGCCGCGUUAUUCUUAGUGCAAUGAGAGAAUGGGAAGAAUCUUUGCCCUGUAUAAAAUGGCGAGUAAAAACUGCUGACGAUGUAGAUUUCGUUCACUUUUUUAAAGGUGAUGGAUGCUUUUCUCAGGUCGGGCGUACUGGUAGCGAACAGUCAUUAUCCAUAGGCAAAGGUUGCGCAGUUCAUGGCAUUGUUCUCCAUGAGAUGGGCCAUGCUCUGGGGAUUUUCCACGAACAGUCACGUCCAGAUAGAGAUGAUUACGUGGAAAUAGUGAAAGAAAAUAUCCUGGAAGGUUUUGAGUCGCAAUUUGAAAAAUUCGGUGAGGAGGCUAUCAACAGUUACAAUAUCUCAUAUGAUUACUCUUCAAUCAUGCAUUAUUCGGCAACGGCAUUUGCAAAACAAAGAGGAUUAGUUACGAUAGAGCCACGACCGAAACGCGACAUCAAAUUUGGUCAACGUCUUCACCUGAGUCCUAGUGAUAUCAGACAGGCAAGAGCUAUGUAUCGCUGUGAAGACACGGAGUUUAACGCGACUCCGGGCUCCACAACUACCCCUAAACCCACAACUACCCCCAAACCUACAACUAUGCGUAAACCCACGACAUCAAAAACGACAACUACCCCCAAACCGACAACAUUAAAACCCACAACAGCCCCAACACCAACAACAGAGCUAGAACUAUCUAGUGGCACACCACCUGAUGAUAUAACUGAAACUACAACAUUUGAAAAACAAACAGACACGGUCACUAUGCAAACAUCUACCCCCAAACCUACAACAUUAAAACCCACAACAGCCCCAACACCAACAACAGAGCUAGAACUAUCUAGUGGCACACCACCUGAUGAUAUAACCGAAACUACAACAUUUGAAAAACAAACAGACACGGUCACCAUGCAAACAACAACACAACCAACAGAAUCGCCAAUCAUCAGUACACCCAAAAUAGAAAAACCAACGAUUGCCACAGGCGUCGUUGAAACCCAAGAACUAAAAACCGAUGCAGGAGUAGUCGCUACAACAGAUACACCAAACUUGACAACCCAAAGACAAACGAAACCUGUUACAUUACCAUCCAAACCAUCCAAACCUGAAGAUUGCGUUGAUCUGUUGUCCACUUGUUACAAAUGGAUCCGCAAAGGCUAUUGCUCACCAUCAUCACCAAACUAUUGUUAUAUGAAGUACUUCUGCAGUAAAACUUGUCAAAUUUGGAGAAAUUCGGAGUUAAGCAUGGGAGCAACUUGUGUUGAUCUGCUUUCUGAUUGCGAGGCAAAGGCACUAACAGGUCAAUGUACUGAUUUGGAUAAUCGUGAAUACAUGGAAAAUAUGUGCUGUGAAUCAUGCCGUCAGGAAAAUUGUAUUGACGAAGAUCCUUCCUGCGGAGACUGGGCUACAUCUGUACGACUGUGCUCCCUUUACCCGUAUUUGCAGAAACGCUGUAAAAAGAGCUGCAAUUUGUGUGAGAUCUGAAAAAUUUUAGACUCUGAAUUAAGUAAAAUAUCCUCGUUCUACGAACUGCAUCUUAUAUCUGAAACAUAGAAGCUCCGAGAGGUUUGUGAUUUUCAUAGGCAUAGCCGCAUAGGUUGUUAAAACUAUAGACAUAUAUAAAUUUAGAUUUUUUGUUCUAAAAUGGGUAUACUGGUAUAUAUGGAAUAAUAAACGUAAUUCGAAAACACUGCAUAAUAAAAUGCUCUCAAAUUCUUGAAAUACCAUAGUAGCUAGUUUGUCUCAAUGUUUACGUAAAGAGAGUUUAAAGCUCGAACAGCGAUGAUUCCCCCUGGUUAAAACGAGCAGUUAUGGCACGAAAACGAGACCAUUGAGUUUAGAAGAGCCCAACAAGAGCUCACCUUUUGCAUGAUUUCCAACUGUUUUC